RNAcentral lists this ribosomal RNA (222 nucleotides) under Triticum aestivum (bread wheat). RNAcentral describes it as "partial small subunit ribosomal RNA". The record is from RNAcentral. Lineage: Eukaryota; Viridiplantae; Streptophyta; Magnoliopsida; Poales; Poaceae.
AUGGACGAUGCGUGUUGCAGGAUCACAGAUAGUGCAGGCAUUGGUGGUAAUCUGCUUCUACUUUCUGUAUGGAGCUGGGAGCGUCUGCCUGUUGGACGCCCGAAGAGCGUCAGGUUUGAUCCUUGGUAUGCAGAUGAACAUGACGAAUUACGGCGCCCCACGUGGGCUUACAAGUGGGAUAUCGUUUCCGAGAUGACGAACGAUGUCAAUCUCAUGUACUAA